AGCUUGAGCCCGUGAGUUAGUGCGCAUGCGCGAGAGUGAGGCGCGGGCGGCGAAAAGCAUUAUGGUCGUUUGAGUCCGGAUGUACAGUCCUGUUGACCUUAUUUCAACACAACUAGCACCACCACACAUCUUAAACUUGACAUAUAUACGACCGAAGUAUUACAUGAAUUGCCUAACGACUUAUUUUACUAUUUCGCAUAUGUGGAGUCAGGAUUUGUCACUAUUAUCGCAAGGAAUUCUGGGAAUUGACGUGCCGCCGCGUGCGCGGAGUAAAGCUUUCGCUCGGCGUGUGCAGCUAGUUAGUAACGUGGCUACAAACCAGGCAAAUGAAACUGGCAACCCAGCAGUUGCAGUAAAAGAGGCCAAAGAGCACUUUUUACCCUCUGAUCCUCUGCACCUACUCGAUGAUGCCAUUUGUGAAACGCUCAACAUCGGCACUCUUCCUCCCCUGCACUUCCUCAACGAGACUGUUUUUGAGAAGACCGUCUGUGAGAGGGAGGACACGGAGAACGUUCUGUCCCGCACGGCCGAGCAGAGGUCUGACCUCAUCUCGGGAGUGUACGAGGGAGGACUGAAGGUGUGGGAGUGCACGUACGACCUCCUGGAGGUAAUCGAGAGGGAAGGCGAGACGUUCGGCGGCAAGGCCGUCUUGGAUCUCGGCUGUGGCGCCGGGCUCUUGGGGAUUUUGUCCCUGAAAAGAGGAGCCAGGAAAGUCCAUUUCCAAGACUACAACAGUACAGUGAUUGAGCAGCUCACUGUGUCUAAUGUCAUUCUCAAUUGCCAAGAUGAUGACAGUGAUGAUGAUGAUGACGGAAAAAGGAAGGGUAAAGGAACAACCGACAAGGAAGAAGAGUGUAAGAUGAAACCAAAACAUAACAGACGAGAUAUGUUACUGCCAAGGUGCCAGUUCUUCUCUGGUGACUGGCGCACCUUUCUUACUUUGACCUCAAGUCAGGAUUCGCCAUUGAAAUACGACAUUAUCAUGACUUCAGAGACGAUCUACAACACGGCUUAUUACCCUGCGCUACAUGACACCCUCCACAAACUUUUGGCAUCGGACGGACACGUCUACAUGGCCACCAAGACCCACUACUUUGGUGUGGGUGGCGGUCUGCACCUGUUUGAGGCGUUUGUGGCAGAGAGGGGGAUUUUCACUCUCAAUCACCUGUGGGAUAGCAAAGAUGGACUUCAGAGACAUGUUGUUGUCCUGCGUUUUAAAAAAGAAUCGCACUAGCUCACGGGUCAAUACACUACUAACCAGUAAAACUAAAUAUCAAUUACUACUGUUCAAAAGUUAUGGGUCACUUGGAAAUGUCCUGAAUGUUGAAAGUAAUUUUUUUCUCUCUCUCUCUCUCUCUCUCUCUCUCUCUCUCUCUCUCUCUCUCUCUCUCUCUCUCUCCAGUGAAGAUGACAUAGAAUCAAUCAGAAAUACAUGCUAGACCAAGGGUCAUCCACAGGGUGCCCGCAGGCACCAGGUAGCCCCAAAGUACUACAUGGGGAGCCCGUGCCUGUUCUCAAAAUAGCUCAGCAGUGAUGAGAAAUUGUGACUGAUGCAAUGCUGUAGAAAUGACCAUCUAAAAUGUAAUCAGUUGCAGAGAUUUAUAAAAAUAGUGUUGAAUGUUGAAAUUUACUGCAUCUCUUUCCUACCUUGUUAAAUCAUUGUUGAUCUUUGUGAGAAAUCAUUAAUACAAUCGGUGUCUUCACAUAAAUGGAUAUCAUUAUUAUUAAUGAUUUAAAGAUGAUGCAAGCAAAUUAGUUAUUUCAGAAGUGUGUAUGAAUGUGGUAGCCCUUAGCAUUAAUCAGUACCUAGGAAGUUGCUUUCAGUUUCAAAAAUGUUGGUGACCUCUGGUCUUGACAUCGUAAAUGUAGUUUAAAAAAAAAGAAAAGCAAUGCUUUCAAUAAUAAGGACUUUUCUAAGUGACCUUCAAACUUUUGAAACCUCGUGUGUGUAUAUAAACACAAUAGUGUGUUUUAAUGAACAACAUGAAAUUGUCUAGCUGACCUCAAAUUUUUGGACUGUAGUGUAUACCGCAAACGGCUAUAUUUUUAGUCUGGCACUUACUGUACAGUAAAUUGAGCGGCUUAUCGUUACCAUCUGAUCAGAUGUGACCUUCCAUCACUAACAAUAGUGAUAUGGACCUUUCUCUGCAUCAUCUUGAAGUUUCAAGGCCACAAGGAACCUCACCUGCCUGUUGGACCUCAAUCGGAAUUUAAUAGUGACAACUACAUGUUCCAGUAAGUGAGGAGCAGUUGAAAGCAGGCUGUUCCAGGUCUAUUUAGACGCACCGGGAGGAAAGAAAAGGAAAUGGGCUCAGUGACCUUUGCGAGUGAUUUCCCCCGUGUUCAAACAGCAGCAUGAAAGCCAGGCUUGUUUCUGAAGUCCAACACGAAAUGUCAAUUGCAACUUAUCCCGGCUGCCCGAGGAUGUAGCUUGAAAGUGGAUUCGGGCGUCACGGUACGUCAGUGGUCGGUCUCUGUGGGGUCUCUGUAAGUCUCAUUCUGGAAAAGGACCU
This is an RNA transcript of Phyllopteryx taeniolatus (common seadragon), 2513 nucleotides long. It is a transcript of the gene named methyltransferase 18, RPL3 N3-histidine, with no coding region annotated. Lineage: Eukaryota; Metazoa; Chordata; Actinopteri; Syngnathiformes; Syngnathidae. The transcript has 3 exons. The record is from RefSeq and is a predicted model, not a curated record.